UAAAGAUCGACUUUUCGUUCUAAUGAUCACUUUGGGCAGGGAUAGUAACAAACAAUGUGCAUUAGCACGAGGAGGCAACACACAUGGAACAAGGUACAGUGAAAUGGUUUAACGCAGAAAAAGGCUUCGGAUUCAUCGAGCGCGAAGGUGGAGAAGACGUAUUCGUACAUUUCUCCGCAAUCCAAUCUGAAGGCUUCAAAUCUUUAGACGAAGGUCAAAAAGUAACUUUUGACGUUGAGCAAGGCGCACGCGGACCUCAAGCUGCAAACGUUCAAAAAGCUUAAUUUUGGACUAACAUACCGAAACAGACUCCAAAAGAGUCUGUUUUUUU
This 331-nucleotide non-coding RNA is filed under the name Bacillus sp. FJAT-18017. RNAcentral's name for it is "cspA thermoregulator". It matches the Rfam family "cspA thermoregulator", at positions 108 to 428 of the family's 428-position model. Lineage: Bacteria; Bacillati; Bacillota; Bacilli; Caryophanales; Bacillaceae. The record is from Rfam by way of RNAcentral.